GACGAACGCUGGCGGCGUGCUUAACACAUGCAAGUCGAGCGGAAAGGCCCUGCUUGCAGGGUACUCGAGUUGCGAACGGGUGGGUAACACGUGGGUGAUCUGCCCUCCACUUCGGCAUAAGCCUGUGAAACUGGGUCUAAUACCUGACAGGAGCCAUUUUGAGCGUGAUGGUUGGAAAGUUUUUUCGGUGUUGGAUGAGCUCGCGGCCUAUCAGCUUGUUGGGGGGGUAAUGGCAUACCAAAGCGGCGACGGGUAGCCGGCCUGAGAGGGUGGACGGCGACCUUGGGACUGAGGGACGGACCAGAAUCGUACGGGAGGCAGCAGGGGGGAACAUUGCACAGUGGGGGCAAGCGUGAUGCGGCGACGCCGCGUGGGGGAUGACGGCUUACGGGUUGUAAACUCAUUUCGCUAGGGACGAAGCUUUUGUGACGGUACCUAGAUAGGAAGCACCGGCUAACUACGUG
This 464-nucleotide ribosomal RNA is filed under the name uncultured bacterium. Its description in RNAcentral is "partial 16S ribosomal RNA". It matches the Rfam family "Bacterial small subunit ribosomal RNA", at positions 28 to 507 of the family's 1533-position model. The record is from RNAcentral.